UACGAAGGGGGGCUAGCGUUGCUCGGAAUUACUGGGCGUAAAGCGCACGUAGGCGGAUCUUUAAGUCAGGGGGUGAAAUCCUGGAGCUCAACUCCCAGAACUGCCUUUGAUACUGAGGACCUUGAGUUCGGGAGAGGUGAGUGGAACUGCGAGUGUAGAGGUGAAAUUCGUAGAUAUUCGCAAGAACACCAGUGGCGAAGGCGCUCACUGGCCCGAUACUGACGCUGAGGUGCGAAAGCCGGGG
This 244-nucleotide ribosomal RNA is filed under the name uncultured bacterium. Its description in RNAcentral is "partial 16S ribosomal RNA". It matches the Rfam family "Bacterial small subunit ribosomal RNA", at positions 524 to 765 of the family's 1533-position model. The record is from RNAcentral.